Molecule: ribosomal RNA, 496 nt
Filed under: uncultured bacterium
Lineage: Bacteria
Description: partial 16S ribosomal RNA
Rfam family: Bacterial small subunit ribosomal RNA
Source: RNAcentral
GAUGAACGCUGGCGGCGUGCCUAAUACAUGCAAGUCGAGCGAACGGACGAGAAGCUUGCUUCUCUGAUGUUAGCGGCGGACGGGUGAGUAACACGUGGAUAACCUACCUAUAAGACUGGGAUAACUUCGGGAAACCGGAGCUAAUACCGGAUAUACUUUGAACCGCAUGGUUUAAAAGUGAAAGAAGGUUUUGCUGGUAACUAUAGAUGGAACCGCGCUGCAUUAGCUAGUUGGUAAGGUAACGGCUUACCAAGGCAACGAUGCAUAGCCGACCUGAGAGGGUGAUCGGCCACACUGGAACUGAGACACGGUCCAGACUCCUACGGGAGGCAGCAGUAGGGAAUCUUCCGCAAUGGGCGAAAGCCUGACGGAGCAACGCCGCGUGAGUGAUGAAGGUCUUCGGAUCGUAAAACUCUGUUAUUAGGGAAGAACAUAUGUGUAAGUAACUGUGCACAUCUUGACGGUACCUAAUCAGAAAGCCACGGCUAACUACGUG